AAGCAUCAAAAUAGUAAUCACAAGAAUAUAAGAACAACCAAUAUGAUAAAUAAUUAUGCCGAAUCAAAAUCACUAAACACUCAUUUUGUAAGUAGAUAUAAUUCAAGAACGAGAAGUUUAACUCCGCAUAGACAUAGAGAUAUUACAACCAAUCAUUCAAAGAAAAGAUGUAAAAUAAAUAAAAGAGAAGAAAAGAUGAAACCCUAAAUCAAAAGUUAAUUUCUACAUUGUAUCCUCCUCUCCCAAUAAUUAUUCCCUUAUGGACUAUUUAUAGAUAUCAAAAAUCCUUAAUAAAGCAAUUGAGUCCAAAAUAAAUUAGGAAUCGAAAAUCAAACAGAAAUAUAUUUCGCCUCAAACUCCUUCGUUGACCCAACAAUUGUGGGUGUCUUCAGAAAUUUCCACAUGGC
This 407-nucleotide long non-coding RNA is filed under the name Solanum tuberosum (potato). Its description in RNAcentral is "long non-coding RNA (STUB_LNC000177)". Lineage: Eukaryota; Viridiplantae; Streptophyta; Magnoliopsida; Solanales; Solanaceae. The record is from RNAcentral.